UUCUUCGUACGUCGCUAACUCAGUUAGCUGGAUUUGAUUGUUGACGAUUUGGCAUGAUCUUGGAUCGUUUGGUUCUUCGAAGCUCAUCCUAGACUUGCUGUCAUAGCAACAGGCUUCCCUAACGUGAUUGGUGCCAUAGACUGCACACACAUCCCCAUCAAGGCCCCACCUGGCCCAAAUGAAGGCGAUUUUGUGAACUGAAAGGGGGUUCACAGUGUAAAUGUGCAGGGGAUUUUGAUGGGAUCCUGCUUGGAGACAGGGGCUAUGCCUGCAGGCAGUAUUUUAUGACGCCCUUCCCUGACCCAAACCCUGGACCACAAACCCAUUACAAUGCAGCUCUAGCCAGGACAAGGGCACGCAGUGAAAAGACCUUUGGGCAACUAAAGGAAAGAUUUCAGUGUCAGAAAAGUCUGAGGGUUGCACCUGACAGGGCCUGUGACAUAAUUGUUACAUAACAUCGCCACCAUCAGAAAGGAGAGGAUCCCUGUGGUGGUGGUGCAGCCUGAUCAAAACAUGCCUCAUGCAACAAAAGUAAAAAGUAAAAGUACAACACUGUCCACCUCUGUAUUAGUUCUUUGUGCAGACUCUUCUGCAAGCCUUUCUGUAGGCCUUUCUCUAGGUGUGGACUCCUGCAACUCAAAUUGCAGACAGAAAGAAUAGGUACACAAGUAGACUAUAUACAAAUUAGUGUAAAGUCAUUUAUGCACUUACAGGUUCUUCCU
This is a long non-coding RNA of Esox lucius (northern pike), 722 nucleotides long. RefSeq lists it as uncharacterized. Lineage: Eukaryota; Metazoa; Chordata; Actinopteri; Esociformes; Esocidae. The record is from RefSeq and is a predicted model, not a curated record. The transcript is spliced from 3 exons.